Molecule: long non-coding RNA, 678 nt
Filed under: Gossypium barbadense (sea-island cotton)
Lineage: Eukaryota; Viridiplantae; Streptophyta; Magnoliopsida; Malvales; Malvaceae
Description: long non-coding RNA (GBAR_LNC012856)
Source: RNAcentral
UUCAAUCUCUUGAAAAAGAAAGAAAAAGAAAUUGGAAUGACGGAUGGGAUUCUUUAUGUGGUAAGUCUGGUAGAUGGAAAUUGAUUGGUCGUAUUCAACGCAAAAACAAAUAUAUGGUUGCAAUUAUACACAACUUUUUUUCGCAUAUGUUCUUAUUUUGGAUAUACCAACAAAAGUUUGACUAUUUGUUAUUUAAAUAGAAGGAAAGGAUGAGGAGAGAUUAAAUCUUUCUUAAUUAAUUUAUAGAUUAAAGUUAAAUCAUUGCUAUUCCUAUUGCUAUUUAACUGCUAUAAAAUCCACAAUUCUAUGAAUUUAGGCUUUUGUUGUUCACAUAAAAACAUUCUCUCCAUAGAAUAAAUGUAAAAUAACUAGAAAUAAUCGAAAUCAAAACUAUUUUUAAUGAUAAUGACUAAAAUAUAAGUUUUUUCAGUACCAAAAAUAAAAACUUGUAAAGUUAAAUGAGUAACCAUGAAAUUUUUUCUUUGUUAUGAAAGUUGAAAUAUUGAGAUUUUAUGGGGACUACUGCAGAUGUGGAUGGAUCGGGGCAGGAACACUCAAUUGGCAAGUAAAAUAGACAGGCUGGAGCCACACUUCCUCUUAAACGCUCUCAGGCUUUGAUCUAUGUGCCCCUAGAAGGAAGGAAAUUUUACAGAUUUAUCUUUCAAGAUAUGAUUGAAC